RNAcentral lists this ribosomal RNA (834 nucleotides) under uncultured fungus. RNAcentral's name for it is "eukaryotic LSU rRNA". The stretch from base 1 to 241 matches the Rfam family "Eukaryotic small subunit ribosomal RNA", at positions 1593 to 1831 of the family's 1831-position model. The record is from RNAcentral. Lineage: Eukaryota; Fungi.
UUGCUCUUCAACGAGGAAUUCCUAGUAAGCGUGAGUCAUCAGCUCGCGUUGAUUACGUCCCUGCCCUUUGUACACACCGCCCGUCGCUACUACCGAUUGAAUGGCUUAGUGAGGCCUCCGGAUUGAUGUCGAAGAGCCGGAAACGGCACUUUGACGUUGAGAAGCUGGUCAAACUUGGUCAUUUAGAGGAAGUAAAAGUCGUAACAAGGUUUCCGUAGGUGAACCUGCGGAAGGAUCAUUAACGAGUCGUUACGGGGUUGUUUGCUGGCUUCUGUCACGGGAGCAUGUGCACGCCUCGCAUCCACUUCAACCUCACCUGUGCACUUCAGAGGACCUCUUCGGUCUUCUUUCACACAAACCACAUAAUGUCAUAGUAGAACGUUUUUGUCAUUAAACAAUACAACUUUCAACAACGGAUCUCUUGGCUCUCGCAUCGAUGAAGAACGCAGCGAAAUGCGAUAAGUAAUGUGAAUUGCAGAAUUCAGUGAAUCAUCGAAUCUUUGAACGCACCUUGCGCUCCUUGGUAUUCCGAGGAGCAUGCCUGUUUGAGUGUCGUGUAAUUCUCAAUCCCGAUCGGUUUUGGCCGACUUCGAGAUUGGAUUUGGGAGUCUGCUGUGCCUUGCAUUAGGUUCGGCUCUCCUUGAAUGCAUUAGCUCGGUCACGUAGUUGCCCGACGGUUCACGGUGUGAUAGUUUAUCUUCAUCGCCGUUCUGACCGCUCGGUGCCUGUGUUCGCCGGCUUCUAAUACCGUGUCUCUGACACGACUUCUUUAACGCUUGACCUCAAAUCAGGUAGGACUACCCGCUGAACUUAAGCAUAUCAAUAAGCGGAGGA